CAGUAGCCACGGUAAUACGUAGGGUGCAAGCGUUAAUCGGAAUUACUGGGCGUAAAGCGUGCGCAGGCGGUUAUGUAAGACAGAUGUGAAAUCCCCGGGCUUAACCUGGGAACUGCAUUUGUGACUGCAUAGCUAGAGUACGGUAGAGGGGGAUGGAAUUCCGCGUGUAGCAGUGAAAUGCGUAGAUAUGCGGAGGAACACCGAUGGCGAAGGCAAUCCCCUGGACCUGUACUGACGCUCAUGCACGAAAGCGUGGGGAGCAAACAGGAUUAGAUACCCCCGUAGUCCCUGUCUCUUAUAC
This 301-nucleotide ribosomal RNA is filed under the name uncultured bacterium. RNAcentral describes it as "partial 16S ribosomal RNA". It matches the Rfam family "Bacterial small subunit ribosomal RNA", at positions 509 to 807 of the family's 1533-position model. The record is from RNAcentral.